AACGAACGCUGGCGGCAUGCCUAACACAUGCAAGUCGAACGAGACCUUCGGGUCUAGUGGCGCACGGGUGCGUAACGCGUGGGAACCUGCCCUUAGGUUCGGAAUAACUCCCCGAAAGGGGUGCUAAUACCGGAUAAUGUCUUCGGACCAAAGAUUUAUCGCCUUUGGAUGGGCCCGCGUUGGAUUAGCUAGUUGGUAGGGUAAAAGCCUACCAAGGCGACGAUCUAUAGCUGGUCUGAGAGGAUGAUCAGCCACACUGGGACUGAGACACGGCCCAGACUCCUACGGGAGGCAGCAGUGGGGAAUAUUGGACAAUGGGCGAAAGCCUGAUCCAGCAAUGCCGCGUGAGUGAUGAAGGCCUUAGGGAUGUAAAGCUCUUUUACCCGGGAUGAUAAUGACAGUACCGGGAGAAUAAGCUCCGGCUAACUCCGUG
This 433-nucleotide ribosomal RNA is filed under the name uncultured bacterium. RNAcentral's name for it is "partial 16S ribosomal RNA". It matches the Rfam family "Bacterial small subunit ribosomal RNA", at positions 29 to 507 of the family's 1533-position model. The record is from RNAcentral.